Setaria italica (foxtail millet) is the source of this 6479-nucleotide long non-coding RNA. RefSeq lists it as uncharacterized. Lineage: Eukaryota; Viridiplantae; Streptophyta; Magnoliopsida; Poales; Poaceae. The record is from RefSeq and is a predicted model, not a curated record. The transcript is spliced from 6 exons.
AUCCCCAUGGCCAAGUUCCUGCGCAAGAUGACCACCGGCGGUGCCGAGUGGAACGUCCCCAACCUCAGCCACAUCGAGACGAUGGGCACAGUCUCAUCAGCUCUUCAGAAGGUUGGGGUCUAGCUCAGGGUUUUCAAUAAUUUGCUCAAGUUCAUCGAGAGUAAGGGGCUAGUUCGAGGAGAUGAAUUGAAGCCGCUGUGCAAGAAGCUAAUCGAAGCAUCCACAAAGGUCGAUGAAGCGCUACUGGAGGCAACUGAAGCAGCCUUGUUGGUUAGCUGCUCGAGCUGUGCCGGGAUGCGUUGGCCGUUGCCCAGGUCGCUACGCCCGCGGUGGCUGAAGUCCGCGAGGCCGCAGCAUCUGGCGCCCUAGAAGCGAAAGCGCUUCAUAGGACUGUGAAGAAUGCGUACCGCAAGGUUACCCCUGUGGACCUCCCCGACUUAAACCCGUUCGACGUUUGAGCAUCUAUCACGGCACGAGUGCCUUUACCAAUGAUCUAUCCAUUUAUUGCUAUCUUAGUUCGUUUCCUAGUGUCAUCACUGCUGUAAUGGUUUGGAUCUAUCACGGCACGAGUAUCUUUAUUUAUGAUCUAGUAUCUUGUGGUAUGUUGUUAUCUUUCUUAGUUCGUUGUGUAGUGUCACCGUUGUUCUAGUUUGAGUCGAGAGGUCAGGAUUUGAUGCGAGAAAAUGUGUUUUAUGUUAAUCUAUCGAAGGAAUUAAGUGAAAGUUACGUGCCUGUGUUCCCCUGUGUUUUGUUCUGAAAGUUAUAAUCUUGGGUGAUUUGAGUCUGUCCGUCACUGAUUUUCUGGCCGUCCGAUCUUUUUCCUUCCGUUCUGAUUCCCUCCAUUCUCCAGUCUUUUGCUGUUUGAGUGACGCGUGGUGUCUUGUCACAUUCAAUGUUGCUUGUUUUUUUUUGGGUUCAUGCCGUUCUUUAUCCGCACCGCAAGUUCUUCAAGGCUUGAAGUGUCGAGAACAUUUCGUCUUCCCCUUUGGUGUUCGUCAGGUGAGGCGAUUCUAGGGUUUCUUCGACAUCUCUUUCUACUUGUGAUUCUGGCAGAUUAGAUUUGUUUUUGUACGUGUGUUUCACUCCUGUCGAGUUUGAUUUCAAUCUGAUGUUUUUUUCAUGUAUUUUGCGAUCCAGUAGUUGGGCGACUGGAUCAAGUUCAAUUCGUCCCCCUCCAUUUCGAUUUCAUCUUUAUGAUUUCGUUCGAUUCAGUGUUAUUCGCCUCGCUAAAUUUGAUCGAUUAGUUUGAGUGAAUGGUUAAUUUAAUUUCAUCUCCCCACCCAUCUGUUCCCCGUUCCGUCGUCCUUUCCAGCAGUCCAACACGAACACAGCAACACCUAGCAGCAGCAGCAGAGCAUUAGCUCUUUUUGCUUCUGGUUACUGUUGAUCCAAGAUAAUAUCACUUUUCUCUGACGAUUUGUAUGUACAUAUGUCUGAAUAAUCUAUUUGACAAUCUAUAUGUCUAGAUGCAUAUAUGUUUUACAUAAUCUAAAUAAUAUGGUAAUGGUUGCUCGGGCAUGUUGGCGAUUUGCUUCUAUCCUCCUGUGAAUUCCUAAUCUGUUCCAUGAGCUGCCCCGUGUAUCCUUUGAUCAUGCAAACAUGUCUUUGUUUUUACUUAGGCAGAUUUUACUCUGAAUUAGUACCUAGAGUUUUAGUGACAGUUCAUAUCUUCUAAGAUUCAGUGGUUAUUGUACUGUCGUUUGUUUGUGAACGUGGUGUAAUUGUGCAAUAUUUGAAAUAGUUCAGACAAUUUAACUUUUUCUGACAUUUCCAUCUGACUAGAACUUAGGUCAAAGCUAAUGUUAAGGUUAAGUUAAAGGUGGGAUUUCAUUUGUAUGUGACCUUAGAUCUAUCUAUUUUGUUGGUGAAUUGGGUUGAGCAUUCUCUGAUCCUGAUGAUCCUUAGCAGUCACCUCUUGAUAUUCAAGCUUAUAUGUAAGUUGCCUGCACCGCAUUGAUGAUCAGACACACAUUGAUAUUCACUUAGUGGUUGCCUCUAGAAUAACACACAAACACAAACUUCUUCCAUGUUUGUUGCCAGUCUUUGUGAGCCACCUUUAAUAUGAACUUGUUCUUGUCAUAUACAGGAUUCAAUUCCAGGAGAUGGCAAUUUCUAUCUUUAGAUCUCUAGUGUUUUAUGUCACUUCCUCCUUUUUUUUUUACCUUCAAUCCUAUAACUUCUGUAGACAUCUCAUAUCCGAAUGCUAGACUCGUCUGAAUAAGGUGCAAUUUAGUGGAGGGAGAGAUCAUGUUCUGGGAGGUUGCAAAGAAAAGUCAAUGAAGAACAUGCAAGAAGGAUAUUGAUGCAUCACACAUCAAAUUAACAGUGCACAUGUUUUCUUCCAAAUUCAGUGUCAAAGAUCAAGAAUGAUCACCACCCUAUCAUUGUUUUAUUUUGCUGUUGAUAAUUUAAAAUUGAAAGGGUCCAUAGAUAAUAGCAUCUUCCUUGUUUUCCUCCAGCUCGCCAAUAAGGGUACUUGCAAAUUCUCGAUAUUGAUUUUUGUUUACUGUUCAGUGGCAUUGCUUUUCAUUUACACAUAAUGCAGCUCAGAUGUUUUGUUUGCUCUUCAAGACUUUGAGAUGUUUUUGUUCACUAUGGCUGGGCUUGUCCAUGAUUUUCCAGGUGGUUUGUGAUUAAAAUGUUAAGUGGUAGUGGUUAUGGAUCACAAGUGUGCAGCAUAGUCAAUCAGCUUUUGAAUCUCACUUAUUUUUCUGUAACCGUUCCAUAAUUGGUUUGUGAUUAGAGGUGACCUGUGGCAUUGUAGUAUUUUGUUCUAUUCAAAUUUCUUUUUCUUGUAACUGCCGGGUCUUCAUUUGGAUGAUUCCACUAACUUGCCACAUUGUGGCAUUAUUUUUAUUUUCAUUAGUUCUUUCACUUCAGUGACUGCUUGAUGGCAACUACUUAUAUUCAUCAACACCAUGUGCCUGGUUCAUGCAGAUUGGUGAUAGUUAUAAUGUGCCUCUCAUAUAUAUUCAGGAUUGCUAAUCAUUUAUAAUUUUAUAUAAUUCCCAAUUAGCAGUUAAUCAAAAGAUAUGCUCCUGAGGCGGACUAAACUCUAUUGAAAUGUUGAUAUGGUGCAUGCUUCCUUUCUAGUUUAAAUAUUGCAUUGUUCUUAUGUUUGAUCAUUUCUGGCAAUGGGAACUGCAACCGGGCUCCUCGACUCAGCUACAUCUUUCUAAUGAAUAGGAUAUCAUAAUUUGUGUCUGGGUAUGUUGGGCUUAACGUGUAAUCAAUUUUGAAUGGGAUUUAUAUUUUUUUUUCCAAUUAGAUCUAUUAUUUAUCUAAAGCAUGCUGAUAAGAGCCACUCUAGCCACACAUCUCAUCACCCGGUGACGGUUCUUACUCCCUAUUCUCUGUUUUGGCGGUGAUGGCCACACUGGUGUUGGACAGCCACCAGUUUUUGUAGAAACCUUUUUAGCCAAAACAUAUGUUAUCUCUUAUAUGAGUUUUCUCAUAAUUGUAUCACUUCCAAAGAUGAUAGCAGUUUUACUUGUCUAUACAUACUUUUUUCUUUGUUCAAUUUAUUAAUAUAUUUUCAGUUCUCACUUCUCAAUGUAGAUCAUAAGUACAUCAGCAUAGAUGUCUUUGCAAGUACAUUUGUUUUUAUUUGCAAUGAGGAACCUAAUUUACUGAUGUGAGAUUUAUAGUUUUUUUUGGUAUGAUAAGUUUAUUAGCCAUUACUAAUUUCCCCGUGUGUGCACAUUGGAGACCCUUUCCGUCAGACGGUGAGAGCACCUUCGACAGGAAUCACCAUGUGACUGCUCAACUAGAAGUGAUCUCCGUCACUUGUGCAUAUUGCGUAGUCUGAGCACACAAGGAUGUGCCGCGCCAGUUCGUGUCAGGUCCCGUCAGCUGGGUGCAGGGGAGGUGACAAUGUUGCACCAGUUCGUGUCAGGUUCCGUCAGCUGGGUGCAAGGGAGCUGAAAAGGAACAUAUUCUGCUUCGCCUCCUGUCCAGGACUCCAGGUGCUCAUGGCGCUCCUGGGGUAGCUCAGCCGUAGUCAUGAGAGAUGGCAUCCAUCUCUGAUCCAUCAGGUGCGGCAGGUGCAGUGGAACAUAAGAGCAGUAGCGAUGAUGCGUCCGCAGGACAUAGUUGCCAAGUACCCCUAGGUUGCCACCACCAUGAGCUCAACCAGUUCAUGGCGAUGACAGCAUGCACAAGUCUCUUUUAAUCAUCACACCAACAGUUCUGACCAAUUGGUUUGAAAUAUAGUUAGAUUAACAUAUGUAGAUAUCCUAGAAAACAUGGUGCUUUUCUGUGUUGUUUCACGUAUGCUGCUAUUGUCAAUCACUGGUGAUAAAAGGCCUGGUCCUUUUUUUGGCUCCUCACACGUUUGAGCUAAUCUUCAGUUUUCAGUGUAGGUUGUCUUGUGUCUGUAUGCAGCAGCUUGAACUGAACCUGCCCAACGGGGAUUGGGAUCUGUGAUCCAAAUAUACUGUUUCUGCAAUUCUGUAGACUGUCGUACAUGUACAUUGGCAAUGUGAUUUGUAUUUCUGAACUCUGAACGUUGUUGGGUGUACAGUGUACAGCAUCUUGCAAAUAUUGUUGAAUGUUUUUCCAUAUGUUCAAGUUGUUCUAUUGUUUACUUAGAGCAUGUGUGUUUUCAAGAUUAAUCAUCAUAUUGAUAUUCCACUAUAAAACAUUUUGUUUUUUAUGCAUGACCACUUUCAUGUCAUGAUGUGUCAUCAUUUUGACAUCUAUGCAAGUUAUCUCAUGCUCUUCUCUCUAAAUAGUUCAUUUUCUGAUCUUCAAAUUAUCGUAUGCCAUUGCUUCUCUCUUUUACUUUUUAAUAUAAGGCAGAUGAAAAGUUGACAUGUGAAAGAAGUAAGCUUUACUCAAUGAAACAUUCAGUAUUUUAGAUUAUUUUACCUUUAGUCCUCUACUCUUAUGCAGGUAUAAAUGGCAACCCGAGUGGGCUUGUUCAUGGUUAACUGAUUUUCUUAAUAGGUAGCAACAUAACAGCAUCCAAUGCUUGAUUUCCCACCUGUUGACUCAACGAGUGGGCUCUCUUCCUUUGCACUUUGUUAGCUGCAUUGUAAAACCGAGUUGUUGAUGCCACUAUUGAAAUGAAGCAACAGUGAACUGAGUAUAGUAGAUCAAUGAUCCAGAAUCAAUAGCCACUAUGAUUCAUGCUUACCUAUAAUAUCAUGGUCCUUGAGUAGCCCUGUUUUUGCAAGGUGAUGCUCCCUCAAAUAUUUAGUUUUUAUUUAACCCAGUUCUUUUUGUUGUUGUUAUCAUGUUAUUUUUUUCCUUUGAUUGAUUGGGCAUAGAGAAGGGAACAAGGAAGGCUGACCAGCUUACUGAGGAAAGGCAGCAAGCAUGAACGCUUGAUACACGCCAAAUGCUUGAUUAGAGUGUUUAAUCAAGGCCUUCUGCUACAGCGAUUCAUAGCCUUUUUGUUCUCAACCAAGAUUUGACUGAAUAUUUGUGGAUAAGUUUUUUAUCGCUUGAUCUCCUUGGUGACAAGGAAAAGCACUUCAACAAGCUUCCAUUUACCAACUGCAGGGUGAGGAGGAUUACCACUCCAUGAAUUCUUGAUGGCCGUUCUUGUCAUUUGGCAACCACUUUCUAGACGUUCCUGGUUUUGACAUACAAAUGAAUAAGCACGUCUCUCUUCAGAGUUUAGUUCUCUCCAUUAUUCUCUAACAUUCCUGAAUGUCCAUAAAUGCUCUGAUUGGCCUGCUCGUAAACUCAAAGUAUUUCAGUUCACUGCUCAGAAUGCGGAUGCUUGGCAGAGGCUGCACUGCAUUUAGACAUCAACACAGGUAUAUGAUUGGAGCUAGAAUCAUUAUGCAGUUAAGUAGCUAGAUCAUCUUAUUCUUACACCUCGAUUUACUGAAGAAAUCCCUUGAUGGGCACUGUCAUUCUAAAUGGUUGUUAUGGCCCUUGCAAUUAUUUUAUCUCAUUUGACCGGUCAAGGUUUGUUAUGACCCUGGUAAGUAGCAUUAAAAAAGACCAACCUGUUUAUUGACUAGAUACCAACCCAUGUAAAUUCAUUGUGAUUUUUAGAAUAAAAAAUAAUAUGGGUGGAGUGGACUUGAUGUAUGAAACACAAUUCCUUCGUAAAUCUUCUCAAUUUCAGAGCAUGGUUUUCUUGUGAGUAUUAGAUUAGAUAUAUUUAAAGAGUUAUUUUACCUUACAGUAUAUGUUUGGUAAGGUUCUCUUGUACUGAACCUCUUGACCUAUCUGACUCCUUAUGCUUUUGGCAUACUUUUUAGUGAGCUAACCCAACGCUUGUUCUGAUUGCAAAAGUCAUUGAGGACUUGGAACCAUGGAGGUGUUGUGGACGGGGUGCAAUGGGUCUGGGAACUUCCUUCCUCGGGGUUGUAAAAGGCUCAAUAUGUUUGUACUCAACAACAGAUCACAUUGUUUGCUCUCUUCAGUUGGAUCUCUCACCACCACUGCUGAGAUUCAUAUGGUGAUGGCAAACCAUGUGCCGUCCUCUUCUAUGCAUAUGAAAUAUUGCUUUUACUCUGAUA